UGCUAGAUGGUCACUUCGAUUGGUAUAGGAAUUUGUUCCUAUGCUACCGACUUAGGUUCGGACCUAUGAGGUCACACACAUUAGAGUUCAUAAUCUGAUCAGAUGGUUGAUCAACGAUUAAGAAUCGUUCUAGGGUUAAAUGAUCAAUAUGAUUGACAUUUAACCCAGUGCAAGUGUUGCAGGAGGAACUAUUAGCAAUUCGAUUGCUGAUUGGCUUAAUUUGAUUAAGCUAAUAGGCUGAGAUUAAGUCUAAUUAAAUAUGAUUUAAUUAAAUUUAUUUUGGGCUUGAUUGGAUCAAGUCCAAUUGGUUUAUUGGAUAAGCCAAGUGCAAGGAAAAACUAGUCCUAGUUCAACUAGGACUUGGGUCAAUCUAAUUUUUAAUUUGAUUAGAAAAUUAAAUCAGAUUUAAAUCUAAUUUAAUCUGAUUAAAUUAAGCUCUUAAUUAGGUUAAGAUCUAUUUUAAUUGGGUUAAUCUAAUUUUGAUUUGAUUUGGUUUGGAAAACCAAAUUAAAACAAGUCAUAAGACAGAAUCCUAGUAAGACUAGGAUUCCACCUUGCGCCACAUAAGCCUUCUCCAUGCCCUCUCUCUUAUUCAACGCCAAUCUCCACUUAUUUUGUGCAACAAAAGCCCUCUC
RNAcentral lists this long non-coding RNA (635 nucleotides) under Elaeis guineensis (African oil palm). RNAcentral's name for it is "long non-coding RNA (EGUI_LNC070257)". The record is from RNAcentral. Lineage: Eukaryota; Viridiplantae; Streptophyta; Magnoliopsida; Arecales; Arecaceae.